This 85-nucleotide transfer RNA is filed under the name bacterium. RNAcentral's name for it is "tRNA-Leu". It matches the Rfam family "tRNA". From Rfam's summary of the family: Transfer RNA (tRNA) molecules are approximately 80 nucleotides in length. Their secondary structure includes four short double-helical elements and three loops (D, anti-codon, and T loops). The record is from RNAcentral. RNAcentral also lists the same sequence under 1 other name.
GCCGGAGUGGUGAAACUGGUAGACGCAGGGGACUCAAAAUCCCCCGAAGCUCUGCUUCGUGCGGGUUCGAAUCCCGCCUCCGGCA